GACGAACCGUCCUAACGUUGUUCGGAUUCACUGGGCUUAAAGGGCGCGUAGGCGGGCCCGCCAGUCCGGGGUGAAAGCUUUCGGCUCAACCGGAAAAGUGCCUCGGAAACUGCGGGUCUAGAGGGAGGUAGGGGCAUGUGGAACUUCUGGUGGAGCGGUGAAAUGCGUUGAUAUCAGAAGGAACGCCGGUGGCGAAAGCGACGUGCUGGACCUCUACUGACGCUGAGGCGCGAAAGCCAGGGGAGCAAACGGG
RNAcentral lists this ribosomal RNA (253 nucleotides) under uncultured bacterium. RNAcentral's name for it is "partial 16S ribosomal RNA". It matches the Rfam family "Bacterial small subunit ribosomal RNA", at positions 524 to 776 of the family's 1533-position model. The record is from RNAcentral.